RNAcentral lists this ribosomal RNA (465 nucleotides) under uncultured bacterium. Its description in RNAcentral is "partial 16S ribosomal RNA". It matches the Rfam family "Bacterial small subunit ribosomal RNA", at positions 338 to 795 of the family's 1533-position model. The record is from RNAcentral.
CCUACGGGUGGCAGCAGUGGGGAAUAUUGCGCAAUGGGCGAAAGCCUGAAGCAGCGACGCAGCGUGAGGGAUGAAGGUCUUCGGAUCGUAAAACUCUGUCAGCAGGGAAGAACAGUCACUGUGCUAAUCAGCAGUGCAUUUACGGUACCUGCAAAUGAAGCACCGGCUAACUCCGGGCCAGCAGCCGCGGUAAUACGGAGGGUGCGAGCGUUAAUCGGAAUUACUGGGCGUAAAGCGCUCGUAGGCGGUAUGUCAAGUCAAGGGUGAAAUCCCCGCGCUCAACGUGGGAACUGCCUUUGAAACUGGCAAACUGGAGUGUGUGAGAGGAUAGUGGAAUUCCAGGUGUAGGAGUGAAAUCCGUAGAUAUCUGGAGGAACAUCAGUGGCGAAGGCGACUAUCUGGCACAUAACUGACGCUGAGGAGCGAAAGCGUGGGUAGCAAACAGGAUUAGAUACCCCGGUAGUC